Molecule: ribosomal RNA, 725 nt
Filed under: uncultured Actinomycetes bacterium
Lineage: Bacteria; Bacillati; Actinomycetota; Actinomycetes
Description: bacterial SSU rRNA
Rfam family: Bacterial small subunit ribosomal RNA
Source: RNAcentral
AUUGAACGCUAGCGGAAUGCCUUACACAUGCAAGUCGAACGGCAGCGCGGGAGCUUGCUCCUGGCGGCGAGUGGCGAACGGGUGAGUAAUGCAUCGGAACGUACCCAGUAGCGGGGGAUAACCGCGCGAAAGCGUGGCUAAUACCGCAUACGCCCUACGGGGGAAAGCGGGGGACCUUCGGGCCUCGCACUAUUGGAGCGGCCGAUGUCAGAUUAGCUAGUUGGUGGGGUAAUGGCCUACCAAGGCAACGAUCUGUAGCUGGUUUGAGAGGACGGCCAGCCACACUGGGACUGAGACACGGCCCAGACUCCUACGGAGGCAGCAGUGGGGAAUUUUGCACAAUGGGCGAAAGCCUGAUGCAGCGACGCCGCGUGAGGGAUGACGGCUUUCGGGUUGUAAACCUCUUUUAUCCAUGACGAAGGCAUGCUUUUUGGUGUGUUGACGGUAGUGGUUGAAUAAGCGCCGGCUAACUACGUGCCAGCAGCCGCGGUAAGACGUAGGGCGCGAGCGUUGUCCGGAUUUAUUGGGCGUAAAGGGCUCGUAGGCGGUUCGUCGCGUCUGCCGUGAAAGACUACAGCUUAACUGUGGUUUUGCGGUGGAUACGGGCGGGCUUGAGGCCAGUAGGGGAGAUCGGAAUUCUACGUGUAGCGGUGAAAUGCGCAGAUAUGUGGAGGAACACCGGUGGCGAAGGCGGAUCUCUGGGCUGGUUCUGACGCUGAGGAGCG